This 75-nucleotide transfer RNA is filed under the name Acidobacteriota bacterium. RNAcentral's name for it is "Acidobacteria bacterium (activated sludge metagenome) tRNA-Arg". It matches the Rfam family "tRNA". Rfam says of the family: Transfer RNA (tRNA) molecules are approximately 80 nucleotides in length. Their secondary structure includes four short double-helical elements and three loops (D, anti-codon, and T loops). RNAcentral also lists the same sequence under 1 other name. Lineage: Bacteria; Pseudomonadati; Acidobacteriota. The record is from RNAcentral.
GGGCCGGUAGCUCAGAAGAAUUAGAGCGGUUGAUUACGAAUCAACAGGUCGUGGGUUUAAGUCCUACCCGGCUCA